RNAcentral lists this unclassified non-coding RNA (334 nucleotides) under soil metagenome. Its description in RNAcentral is "partial contains 5.8S ribosomal RNA, internal transcribed spacer 2, and large subunit ribosomal RNA". The stretch from base 1 to 120 matches the Rfam family "5.8S ribosomal RNA", at positions 35 to 154 of the family's 154-position model. The record is from RNAcentral.
GAUGAAGAACGUAGCGAAAUGCGAUAAGUAAUGUGAAUUGCAGAAUUCAGUGAAUCAUCGAAUCUUUGAACGCACAUUGCGCCCGCCAGUAUUCUGGCGGGCAUGCCUGUUCGAGCGUCAUUUCAACCAUCAAGCCUCAGGCUUGUGUUGGAGCCCUGCGGCUGCCGCAGCCUCCCAAAACCAGUGGCGGGCUCGCUAUCACACCGAGUGCAGUAGUUUACUCUUCGCUCAGGGCGUGUGGCGGGUGCUAGCCGUGAAACCCCCAACUUCUCAAGGUUGACCUCGGAUCAGGUAGGAAUACCCGCUGAACUUAAGCAUAUCAAUAAGCGGAGGA